UGCCGCGUGCAGGAAGACUGCCCUAUGGGUUGUAAACUGCUUUUAUACAGGAAGAAACACUCUCACGUGUGAGAGCUUGACGGUACUGUAAGAAUAAGGAUCGGCUAACUCCGUGCCAGCAGCCGCGGUAAUACGA
RNAcentral lists this ribosomal RNA (136 nucleotides) under uncultured Olleya sp. Its description in RNAcentral is "partial 16S ribosomal RNA". It matches the Rfam family "Bacterial small subunit ribosomal RNA", at positions 395 to 528 of the family's 1533-position model. The record is from RNAcentral. Lineage: Bacteria; Pseudomonadati; Bacteroidota; Flavobacteriia; Flavobacteriales; Flavobacteriaceae.